Molecule: long non-coding RNA, 676 nt
Filed under: Hordeum vulgare
Lineage: Eukaryota; Viridiplantae; Streptophyta; Magnoliopsida; Poales; Poaceae
Description: long non-coding RNA (HVUL_LNC005477)
Source: RNAcentral
UUCGGUUUGACAAAAAACACGGGAAUCAAAUCUUGAAACAGCAGGCCGGUACGUUUUAAGAGCGAAAAGCUUCUGACUAUGAACUACUCAUGAAUCAGAGUCUGGGCUUAAGCAGCGAUGAAAGCCUUCUUCCCGCCUCCGGUGGUUCCAGCUGGAACGACCUUCAGGACAUUGAAUCUCACAGUUUUCGACAGGGGCCUGUUUCAGGAACAAGCAAUAUACUUCAGAAACAAAAGAAAAUAGCACUUGCAGUAAUCAAGAGGAUGCAGUGGAAUAGCACAGGCAUAUAACAGUAGAACACCAGGCUAAAACUAUUAUUUGAAUACCAAGUCAUCCAAGAGUACAAGCUUUACCUGCACUGGCCAAUGAUGACAUGGUCGCCUUCCUUGACACGGAAGCAGGGGGAGAUGUGAGCUGGGAUGUUGGAGUGCCUCUUCUCAUACCUGCAAGGUGCAUGAAUGAUUUCGAAGUUAGAAAUGCCAUGGGGAAGAAGCAAGCAGUAUGUUAUCAGAAUCAUCAAUGGGUUCACUUGCCUCUGAUACUUCUUCACAAAGUGAAGGUAGUUCCUGCGCACGAUGAUCGUCCUGUUCAUCUUGGCGCUGUGGCAGGUUCCAGCUAUGAUUCUGCCCCUGAUGGCAACAGUUCCAGUGAAUGGGCACUUCUUGUCAAUGUAGGU